Molecule: ribosomal RNA, 1457 nt
Filed under: uncultured Bacteroides sp.
Lineage: Bacteria; Pseudomonadati; Bacteroidota; Bacteroidia; Bacteroidales; Bacteroidaceae
Description: bacterial SSU rRNA
Rfam family: Bacterial small subunit ribosomal RNA
Source: RNAcentral
UCAGGAUGAACGCUAGCUACAGGCUUAACACAUGCAAGUCGAGGGGCAGCAUUUCAGUUUGCUUGCAAACUGGAGAUGGCGACCGGCGCACGGGUGAGUAACACGUAUCCAACCUGCCGAUAACUCGGGGAUAGCCUUUCGAAAGAAAGAUUAAUACCCGAUGGUAUAAUCAGACCGCAUGGUCUUGUUAUUAAAGAAUUUCGGUUAUCGAUGGGGAUGCGUUCCAUUAGGCAGUUGGUGAGGUAACGGCUCACCAAACCUUCGAUGGAUAGGGGUUCUGAGAGGAAGGUCCCCCACAUUGGAACUGAGACACGGUCCAAACUCCUACGGGAGGCAGCAGUGAGGAAUAUUGGUCAAUGGGCGCAGGCCUGAACCAGCCAAGUAGCGUGAAGGAUGACUGCCCUAUGGGUUGUAAACUUCUUUUAUAUGGGAAUAAAGUUUUCCACGUGUGGAAUUUUGUAUGUACCAUAUGAAUAAGGAUCGGCUAACUCCGUGCCAGCAGCCGCGGUAAUACGGAGGAUCCGAGCGUUAUCCGGAUUUAUUGGGUUUAAAGGGAGCGUAGGUGGACAGUUAAGUCAGUUGUGAAAGUUUGCGGCUCAACCGUAAAAUUGCAGUUGAUACUGGCUGUCUUGAGUACAGUAGAGGUGGGCGGAAUUCGUGGUGUAGCGGUGAAAUGCUUAGAUAUCACGAAGAACUCCGAUUGCGAAGGCAGCUCACUGGACUGCAACUGACACUGAUGCUCGAAAGUGUGGGUAUCAAACAGGAUUAGAUACCCUGGUAGUCCACACAGUAAACGAUGAAUACUCGCUGUUUGCGAUAUACAGUAAGCGGCCAAGCGAAAGCAUUAAGUAUUCCACCUGGGGAGUACGCCGGCAACGGUGAAACUCAAAGGAAUUGACGGGGGCCCGCACAAGCGGAGGAACAUGUGGUUUAAUUCGAUGAUACGCGAGGAACCUUACCCGGGCUUAAAUUGCAUUUGAAUAUAUUGGAAACAGUAUAGCCGUAAGGCAAAUGUGAAGGUGCUGCAUGGUUGUCGUCAGCUCGUGCCGUGAGGUGUCGGCUUAAGUGCCAUAACGAGCGCAACCCUUAUCUUUAGUUACUAACAGGUCAUGCUGAGGACUCUAGAGAGACUGCCGUCGUAAGAUGUGAGGAAGGUGGGGAUGACGUCAAAUCAGCACGGCCCUUACGUCCGGGGCUACACACGUGUUACAAUGGGGGGUACAGAAGGCAGCUACCUGGUGACAGGAUGCUAAUCCCAAAAGCCUCUCUCAGUUCGGAUCGAAGUCUGCAACCCGACUUCGUGAAGCUGGAUUCGCUAGUAAUCGCGCAUCAGCCAUGGCGCGGUGAAUACGUUCCCGGGCCUUGUACACACCGCCCGUCAAGCCAUGAAAGCCGGGGGUACCUGAAGUACGUAACCGCAAGGAGCGUCCUAGGGUAAAACUGGUAAUUGGGGCUAA